RNAcentral lists this ribosomal RNA (450 nucleotides) under uncultured bacterium. RNAcentral describes it as "partial 16S ribosomal RNA". It matches the Rfam family "Bacterial small subunit ribosomal RNA", at positions 354 to 796 of the family's 1533-position model. The record is from RNAcentral.
GUGGGGAAUAUUCCGCAAUGGACGAAAGUCUGACGGAGCAACGCCGCGUGAGUGAUGAAGGUUUUCGGACUGUAAAGCUCUGUUGUUUAGGACGAAAGUGCCUGUUGCGAACAGUUACAGGUAUUGACGGUACUAAACGAGGAAGCCACGGCUAACUACGUGCCAGCAGCCGCGGUAAUACGUAGGUGGCAAGCGUUGUCCGGAAUUAUUGGGCGUAAAGAGCAUGUAGGCGGAGAUUUAAGUCUGUUGUGAAAAUGCGGGGCUCAACCCCGUAUUGCGAUGGAAACUGAAUUUCUUGAGGGCAGGAGAGGAAAGUGGAAUUCCCAGUGUAGCGGUGAAAUGCGUAGAUAAUGGGAGGAACACCAGUGGCGAAGGCGCCUUUCUGGACUGUGUCUGACGCUGAGAUGCGAAAGCCAGGGUAGCGAACGGGAUUAGAUACCCGUGUAGUCC